This 460-nucleotide ribosomal RNA is filed under the name uncultured bacterium. Its description in RNAcentral is "partial 16S ribosomal RNA". It matches the Rfam family "Bacterial small subunit ribosomal RNA", at positions 338 to 795 of the family's 1533-position model. The record is from RNAcentral.
CCUACGGGAUGCUGCAGUGAGGAAUAUUGGUCAAUGGACGAGAGUCUGAACCAGCCAAGUAGCGUGAAGGAUGACUGCCCUAUGGGUUGUAAACUUCUUUUAUAAAGGAAUACAACGAGGCACGUGUGCCUUUUUGCAUGUACUUUAUGAAUAAGGAUCGGCUAACUCCGUGCCAGCAGCCGCGGUAAUACGGAGGAUCCGAGCGUUAUCCGGAUUUAUUGGGUUUAAAGGGGGCGUAGAUGGGUUGUUAAGUCAGUUGUGAAAGUUUGCGGCUCAACCGUAAAAUUGCAAUUGAUACUGGCAGUCUUGAGUACAGUUGAGGUAUGCGGAAUUCGUGGUGUAGCGGUGAAAUGCUUAGAUAUCACGAAGAACCCCGAUUGCGAAGGCAGCUUACUAAACUGUGACUGACAUUGAUGCUCGAAAGUGUGGGUAUCGAACAGGAUUAGAUACCCCUGUAGUC